GAUGUCACCACUGGAGUGUCCUGGCUGGAUCGGCAAGCAGUCAGCAGAAGGGGAGGAGAGAAGAAGAGAGGAGGGAAGAGACGGCGAAAUGUGUUUCCUGAAUGGGAGGAGAGGUGGAAAAAGCCCAUCCUGCCCCAAGAAUCACCGCCGCCCCACCAGAGCUGCCGCCACUGGCCUUUCUGCAGAGGCAGCAAAAGUUCCCCAAGAGGGGAGCGUCUGCCAACUCAAACAGGGCUCAUUCUCCUCUCUGUGGGCCGUCAGCCGCCCAUGUGGGCCUGCGCUGGGCUUCCUGAGGGCUCGAUGCAGCUGGAGGACUUUGAAUAAAGGUAACGGCAAUGUCACAGCUACUGUAAACUUGCGAGGCUGCUCCUGUCAGCAGGACAUUCCCAAUCAAAGCAGAAACAACCCCACCUAAAACACAACACAUUGUUUUUUUCCACUGGCCCCAAGUCCAAACUUCCCACGAAUCACAAAGACAGCACACAGGCGAGAGGGCAACCACUGUUCCCUGAUCUUGCCAAACAAAAUGCCAAGAGACCAGGAAUGACAUUCAGCUCUGGGGUUUAAAAAUACGAGCAAUUUGAAAAUGAUUAGUCUUAUUUUCUUGUUGAGCGCCUGACACAGGAGAGGAAACCAGAACAAUCAACCCAACUGCCUUUUUUUCUGCUGAAUUUAGAAACACUAAUUAGUUUUGCUCUCGUAAAGCCAACCUGAAAACGACCAAUUAGAAAGUGAAAAUGAGACGUGCAGAGAAACAAGAGCUUGUCAUUUGCACUGUUUAAGUCCCAUAUGCACAACUUUACUGUGAUGACUUUCACACAAGCUCGGGAUGAUUGGCAUGCCACCUACUAAAUUUGAUGUCACAUACACACACACCAGUCAAACAGCCUUUUGCCUAGUUGGAUGAAACUAUCACAGAUCUGUACGACCACAUCAAACUCAAGCGGGCAGCCUGGGCAUGCAGAUGUCUGAAGCACCAGGCUGGGAUACAGCCCACCAGGCUGACCACAGCACCAGCUGGUUACAGCUACAGACGUACCAGAGCCAAACUGUUCCCCCUUACAGGUGCCUCUUCUCUGAGUUUCCUCUUUCAGGGGUACUGGAAUAAUACAUCUGUAUGUACUCUUUCAAUGUAACAACUGAGGCAGGUAUCUGUAAGUACUUCUUUUUCAGACACACCUGAAAUAUAUUUCACCUGCUGAGUGGCAUUGGUUCGCAUCUAUCCAGUCAUUAGAAGUGAAUAUAAAAUGUGAAAAUUAUCUGCAGGAAUUUCAGUGCUAUUCCCCCGGCAAACAGUGGCGAGUGUUUCAUCACUGUCGGACUGAAGACGGAUGAGCUGUCAGUGCCUUCCCCUGUCCACAAUCCAGCUCCUGGGCUGGGAAGUGGCUAAAAAAGGCCGGGGCAACGCUUUCCAGGACUGCGCCUUUUACUGGGAGUAAUUCUCAGAUGCCAGAUUGCUGCCAACGUCCUUGCAGCCAAUGGCAGAGAGGCCAGUAAGUUCACAUUAACUGCAGAGUGUAACUGCACUGAACAUCUGCUCAUGAAUGAGAGCGCUGCCCACUAACUCAGCUAGUUGAAGCCCGCUGAUGAAAAAUUCAACGUUCUCCUCGUUGGCACGCUUGUUUUGCACUAUUCUCCUGAGCCCCUAGAAUUAUAUUAAGAGAAUUUCAGCACGGCCUGGUGUAUCUGAGAGAACAGCUGGCGCUGAAAAGAGAUCUGCCGCUCGGCGAGAGCUCAGGGACUUCACACGGGAUCUGCCUUCUCCUACACCAUUUGUCCUUGAAGAGAAAAAAACCCUCCAGUGUUAAGCACCCAGGUAAUAAUAAGAAAGCAGAGGCUACAUUUAGCUGAUUACACCACCCGUGUGUGCUACAGCGGACAGCGCAUAACCACUGAAGACAUGAAUCGAUAUUGAGUGGAAAAGGAAGACAGAAGAGCAUUUGUGACAUGAGGCAGCUACCCCGACCUCAGGAGACCCAUUCGGUGUACCUCUCUUUUGUUUGUCUUGUUUAGCUCAUUAGAUUGUUAACUAGGAAGAAUCUGCCCCCAACCCCACAAUAUGGAACAAGCUUAAUCAGAAACAGAAGCAGUGUGUUAAGGGAACAACUACUUCAAAGAGCUUCAAGUGCUGCAAUCAUGUGCCCCAUGAGUUUCUAAUGUUACAGGAAAUGUUCAGGCAAACAAUGAAAGUUGUCAUGUUCAUGUUCUAAGAUGACUACUGAC
Molecule: long non-coding RNA, 2223 nt
Filed under: Oreochromis niloticus (Nile tilapia)
Lineage: Eukaryota; Metazoa; Chordata; Actinopteri; Cichliformes; Cichlidae
Description: lncRNA (ENSONIG00000031647.1)
Source: RNAcentral